Molecule: ribosomal RNA, 253 nt
Filed under: uncultured bacterium
Lineage: Bacteria
Description: partial 16S ribosomal RNA
Rfam family: Bacterial small subunit ribosomal RNA
Source: RNAcentral
UACGGGGGGUGCAAGCGUUGCUCGGAAUUAUUGGGCGUAAAGGGCAGGUAGGUGGUCUUAUUUGUCUUGUGUGAAAUCCUUGGGCUUAACUCAAGAAGUGCGCAAGAAACGGUAAGACUAGAGUCCUAGAGAGGCUAGUGGAAUUCCCGGUGUAGCGGUGAAAUGCGUAGAGAUCGGGAGGAACACCAGAGGCGAAGGCGGCUAGCUGGAUAGGCACUGACACUCAACUGCGAAAGCGUGGGGAGCAAACAGG